Long non-coding RNA from Pyrgilauda ruficollis (rufous-necked snowfinch), 329 nucleotides. RefSeq lists it as uncharacterized. NCBI's taxonomy places the organism in Eukaryota, Metazoa, Chordata, Aves, Passeriformes, Passeridae. The record is from RefSeq and is a predicted model, not a curated record. The transcript has 3 exons.
UCAGCUCAGGGCACACACGAGUGCUCCAGCUGGACCUCCUUUGACAUCUGAAGCAGUUUUCCCUUGGACCUCAGCAGAUGUGAGAUGUUAUUCCAGCAAGGGGAAGGAAGCCGAGCUGAAACGCCCAGGAUGAAGACAUCUGCAGCACCAGCUCUGGACCUGGCCAAAGAGGUGGAACAGCUGCUCACUGCCAGGGUAUUGAGUACUCAUCUUGCUGAACUCAUCUUCUCAACUCUUUGACUGCACUUGAUUUGUUUCCAUCACAUGUGAGACUGGCGAGAGCAUGGAUCUGAUUCAGCACAAACAUAUUUAGGAAGCAAAUAAACCUA